Molecule: ribosomal RNA, 559 nt
Filed under: uncultured bacterium
Lineage: Bacteria
Description: bacterial SSU rRNA
Rfam family: Bacterial small subunit ribosomal RNA
Source: RNAcentral
CCUACGGGAGGCAGCAGUGGGGAAUCUUGCGCAAUGGGCGAAAGCCUGACGCAGCCAUGCCGCGUGAAUGAUGAAGGUCUUAGGAUUGUAAAAUUCUUUCACCGAGGACGAUAAUGACGGUACUCGGAGAAGAAGCCCCGGCUAACUUCGUGCCAGCAGCCGCGGUAAUACGAAGGGGGCUAGCGUUGCUCGGAAUUACUGGGCGUAAAGGGAGCGUAGGCGGAUAGUUUAGUCAGAGGUGAAAGCCCAGGGCUCAACCUUGGAAUUGCCUUUGAUACUGGCUAUCUUGAGUACGGAAGAGGUAUGUGGAACUCCGAGUGUAGAGGUGAAAUUCGUAGAUAUUCGGAAGAACACCAGUGGCGAAGGCGACAUACUGGUCCGUUACUGACGCUGAGGCUCGAAAGCGUGGGAGCAAACAGGAUUAGAUACCCUGGUAGUCCACGCUGUAAACGAUGAGUGCUAGUUGUCGGCAUGCAUGCAUGUCGGUGACGCAGCUAACGCAUUAAGCACUCCGCCUGGGGAGUACGGUCGCAAGNUUAAAACNCAAAGGAAUUGACGG